AAUAACUAAUCUAAUUCUUAUGAUAAAGGAAAAAAGGCAAAAAACCAGUUAUUA
This 54-nucleotide transfer RNA is filed under the name Demodex brevis. Its description in RNAcentral is "tRNA-Ile". The record is from RNAcentral. Lineage: Eukaryota; Metazoa; Arthropoda; Arachnida; Trombidiformes; Demodicidae.